UAGCUACAGGCUUAACACAUGCAAGUCGAGGGGCAGCAUUUCGCUAGCAAUAGUGAAGAUGGCGACCGGCGCACGGGUGAGUAACACGUAUCCAACCUGCCGAUAACUCGGAGAUAGCCUUUCGAAAGAAAGAUUAAUAUCCGAUGGUAUAUUAAGAUCGCAUGGUUUUACUAUUAAAGAAUUUCGGUUAUCGAUGGGGAUGCGUUCCAUUAGUUUGUUGGCGGGGUAACGGCCCACCAAGACUACGAUGGAUAGGGGUUCUGAGAGGAAGGUCCCCCACAUUGGAACUGAGACACGGUCCAAACUCCUACGGGAGGCAGCAGUGAGGAAUAUUGGUCAAUGGGCGAGAGCCUGAACCAGCCAAGUAGCGUGAGGGAUGAAGGCUCUAUGGGUCGUAAACCUCUUUUAUAUGGGAAUAAAGUUUUCCACGUGUGGAAUUUUGUAUGUACCAUAUGAAUAAGGAUCGGCUAACUCCGUGCCAGCAGCCGCGGUAAUACGGAGGAUCCGAGCGUUAUCCGGAUUUAUUGGGUUUAAAGGGAGCGUAGGUGGAUUGUUAAGUCAGUUGUGAAAGUUUGCGGCUCAACCGUAAAAUUGCAGUUGAAACUGGCAGUCUUGAGUACAGUAGAGGUGGGCGGAAUUCGUGGUGUAGCGGUGAAAUGCUUAGAUAUCACGAAGAACUCCGAUUGCGAAGGCAGCUCACUAGACUGCAACUGACACUGAGGCUCGAAAGUGUGGGUAUCAAACAGGAUUAGAUACCCUGGUAGUCCACACAGUAAACGAUGAAUACUCGCUGUUUGCGAUAUACAGCAAGCGGCCAAGCGAAAGCAUUAAGUAUUCCACCUGGGGAGUACGCCGGCAACGGUGAAACUCAAAGGAAUUGACGGGGGCCCGCACAAGCGGAGGAACAUGUGGUUUAAUUCGAUGAUACGCGAGGAACCUUACCCGGGCUUAAAUUGCAAAUGAAUAAUCUGGAAACAGGUUAGCCGCAAGGCAUUUGUGAAGGUGCUGCAUGGUUGUCGUCAGCUCGUGCCGUGAGGUGUCGGCUUAAGUGCCAUAACGAGCGCAACCCUUAUCUUUAGUUACUAACAGGUCAUGCUGAGGACUCUAGAGAGACUGCCGUCGUAAGAUGUGAGGAAGGUGGGGAUGACGUCAAAUCAGCACGGCCCUUACGUCCGGGGCUACACACGUGUUACAAUGGGGGGUACAGAAGGCAGCUACCUGGCGACAGGAUGCUAAUCCCAAAACCUCUCUCAGUUCGGAUCGAAGUCUGCAACCCGACUUCGUGAAGCUGGAUUCGCUAGUAAUCGCGCAUCAGCCAUGGCGCGGUGAAUACGUUCCCGGGCCUUGUACACACCGCCCGUCAAGCCAUGAAAGCCGGGGGUACCUGAAGUACGUAACAGCAAGGAGCGUCCUAGGGUAAAACUGGUAAUUGGGGCUAAGU
Molecule: ribosomal RNA, 1441 nt
Filed under: uncultured organism
Description: SSU rRNA
Rfam family: Bacterial small subunit ribosomal RNA
Source: RNAcentral